GGUGGCUAUAGCAUUGGGGCUCACCUCUUCCCAUCCCGAACAGAGAAGUUAAGCCCAAUUGCGCCGAUGGUACUGCAUUUAUGUGGGAGAGUAGGUCGCCGCCUU
RNAcentral lists this ribosomal RNA (105 nucleotides) under uncultured Polaribacter sp. Lineage: Bacteria; Pseudomonadati; Bacteroidota; Flavobacteriia; Flavobacteriales; Flavobacteriaceae. The record is from RNAcentral.